UACAGAGGGGGCAAGCGUUGUUCGGAAUUACUGGGCGUAAAGGGCGUGUAGGCGGCCAACUAAGUCCGACGUGAAAUCCCCAGGCUUAACCUGGGAACUGCGUCGGAUACUGGAUGGCUUGAAUCCGGGAGAGGGAUGCAGAAUUCCAGGUGUAGCGGUGAAAUGCGUAGAUAUCUGGAGGAAUACCGGUGGCGAAGGCGGCAUCCUGGACCGGCAUUGACGCUGAAGCGCGAAAGCUAGGGGAGCAAACGGG
Molecule: ribosomal RNA, 253 nt
Filed under: uncultured bacterium
Lineage: Bacteria
Description: partial 16S ribosomal RNA
Rfam family: Bacterial small subunit ribosomal RNA
Source: RNAcentral